GCUGGGCGUGGUGGCGCAUGCCUGUAAUCCCAGCUACUUGGGAGGCUGAGGCAGGAGAAUCGUUUGAACCUGGGAGGCGGAGGUUGCAGUGAGCUGAGACUGUGCCACUGCACUCCAGCCUGGAUUGCGCCAUUGUACUCCAGCCUGGGUGACAGAGCGAGACUCUGUCUCAA
Non-coding RNA from Homo sapiens (human), 173 nucleotides. It matches the Rfam family "Metazoan signal recognition particle RNA". Rfam says of the family: The signal recognition particle (SRP) is a universally conserved ribonucleoprotein. NCBI's taxonomy places the organism in Eukaryota, Metazoa, Chordata, Mammalia, Primates, Hominidae. The record is from Rfam.